CAAAGAGCCAGAAGGUGCUCACCUUGGAUGUAAUUUUUCAUGUAGCUCCUCAGCUGUCUCCAACUCGGUGAAUUCAGUUCUAAGUUUUGCACUGAACGUUUUCUGGUCUUUUGUUCUAUUGAGAAGGCGGAGAACUUUGAAACGCAGAUACACAGGAAAACUUGCACCCAUUUCCUACCUAUCCUGAAACUGGAUGCCAAGCCUUAGCUCAAAGGAAAACCUGUUAAUUGUAUGCACCAAAAAAUGGCAGGCUGCUGAUUUUUUUAGACUUCAGGACCUUCCAAAGGUUAUAAAUGUUACCAGCUGAUGACCAAAAAGAAAAAAAUACUUCCACAAAGUGAAUGAAAUCCACGGGUCCUGAUUACCUAAAAGGAAAAACAGCCUGAAUUCAGUUCCAGUAGCAGAAUUCUGUGUUUGCUGUGUUUUUAGCAGUCCAGAUGGCUCUCUCUUAUUUACGUGUCCCAUCUAAACAAUCACUGCUGCAUUGUGGCAAUGCUUGUCACUGUUGUGACAACAGGACAGGGAGAUCUCUCCCCUCAGUUAUAAAUCACAAAUCACUGAGGGCAGCUGCAGCCUCUGCUUCUUCAUCAUCCGCUUCAAGACAGGCAUUUUAGUGAAAGAUGGGAAUCUAUUAACUUUGCUGGCUGAGCUAUGCUAAGUGGAAAGAGAUGAAAGACGGAGUAAUGAAAAGGAGAGAGCUCAGCAUCGUGACUGACCUGUGCAAAGAACAGUCCUGAUGUCCUGCUCACAAAUGAAUUAUUCAGCUGCCAGGUCUUGCCUGCAACUCCACUGAAACACACAGGUCAACCUAGCCCCAUCCUGUGCAGUUUCUUGGCAACACAUUCAGGUUGGUGAAAGUAGACAGAAUUGUUAGUUUUGGGGGUAUUGGGUUAAAAAAUUGUUUAUAUCACUAGCAGUACUUGAGUGAAAGAGAAAUCCAAGGUAAAGUGCAAUAUAUUGCACUUCAAAAUGCAAUAUUUUGAAUAAUUUUCAAAUAAGUAAAUCAAUCUCUCUAGGAAGACUAAACUGUUCUUACUAAAACUACUAUGGCAGUCAUCUCAAUAAUAAAGAAAACAACUGUGCUAAUCUAAAAUUUGGUGAAGGUCUAGCAAGGAAACCACGAUGUACAUAACAACUCACAAAGGUUAAGAGCUGCUUAGUGUGAUCUCAAGAAAUUCAUCAGGUCUAAUUAAGCUGAUGGUGCAUGGGCUCUCCACAGAGAAAAUUACAAGUGAAACAAGUUUAAAAGGGGAAAACUACAAACGUAUUAAAAUCUGUGUAAGUUACUUGUCAAAAUACAGGUUUUUCAGCUUCUCCCAGAUCAACAAGAUCUGGACAUGGACCCCCUUAUCCAGUCCAAGUUGAGAUAGCAUUCUCUUCUCUCCCUCAGGAGCACUGAUAGCAACAACCAAGGUUCAAGGAAACUGGGAGCACAACAAAUGGAAGAAUAUAAAGGGUUCCACAACUUAGAAAUUCAGAAGCAUUUUGGACAACCAUACGCAAGCAA
RNAcentral lists this long non-coding RNA (1507 nucleotides) under Taeniopygia guttata (zebra finch). RNAcentral describes it as "lncRNA (ENSTGUG00000025050.1)". Lineage: Eukaryota; Metazoa; Chordata; Aves; Passeriformes; Estrildidae. The record is from RNAcentral.